This 81-nucleotide transfer RNA is filed under the name Vagococcus teuberi. It matches the Rfam family "tRNA", at positions 5 to 66 of the family's 71-position model. From Rfam's summary of the family: Transfer RNA (tRNA) molecules are approximately 80 nucleotides in length. Their secondary structure includes four short double-helical elements and three loops (D, anti-codon, and T loops). The record is from Rfam by way of RNAcentral. Lineage: Bacteria; Bacillati; Bacillota; Bacilli; Lactobacillales; Enterococcaceae.
GAUUACCCAAGUCCGGCUGAAGGGAACGGUCUUGAAAACCGUCAGGUGUGUAAAAGCACGCAAGGGUUCGAAUCCCUUAUC